UGGGGAAUUUUGGACAAUGGGCGCAAGCCUGAUCCAGCCAUGCCGCGUGCGGGAAGAAGGCCUUCGGGUUGUAAACCGCUUUUGUCAGGGAAGAAAUCUUCUGAGUUAAUACCUCGGGAGGAUGACGGUACCUGAAGAAUAAGCACCGGCUAACUACGUGCCAGCAGCCGCGGUAAUACGUAGGGUGCAAGCGUUAAUCGGAAUUACUGGGCGUAAAGCGUGCGCAGGCGGUUUUGUAAGACAGAGGUGAAAUCCCCGGGCUCAACCUGGGAACUGCCUUUGUGACUGCAAGGCUUGAGUGCGGCAGAGGGGGAUGGAAUUCCGCGUGUAGCAGUGAAAUGCGUAGAUAUGCGGAGGAACACCGAUGGCGAAGGCAAUCCCCUGGGCCUGCACUGACGCUCAUGCACGAAAGCGUGGGGAGCAAAACAGGAUUAGAUACCCUGGUAGUCCACGCCCUAAACGAUGUCAACUGGUUGUUGGGAAGGUUCCUUCUCAGUAACGUAGCUAACGCGUGAAGUUGACCGCCUGGGGAGUACGGCCGCAAGGUUGAAACUCAAAGGAAUUGACGGGGUCAUAGCUGUUU
Molecule: ribosomal RNA, 583 nt
Filed under: uncultured bacterium
Lineage: Bacteria
Description: partial 16S ribosomal RNA
Rfam family: Bacterial small subunit ribosomal RNA
Source: RNAcentral